Molecule: ribosomal RNA, 498 nt
Filed under: uncultured bacterium
Lineage: Bacteria
Description: partial 16S ribosomal RNA
Rfam family: Bacterial small subunit ribosomal RNA
Source: RNAcentral
ACUCAAAUGAAUUGACGGGGACCCGCACAAGCAGUGGAGUAUGUGGUUUAAUUCGAAGCAACGCGAAGAACCUUACCAGGUCUUGACAUCCCGAUGAAAGCACCAGAGAUGGUGCCCCUCUUCGGAGCAUUGGAGACAGGUGGUGCAUGGUUGUCGUCAGCUCGUGUCGUGAGAUGUUGGGUUAAGUCCCGCAACGAGCGCAACCCUUGAUCUUAGUUGCCAGCACUUCGGGUGGGCACUCUAGGAUGACUGCCGGUGACAAACCGGAGGAAGGUGGGGAUGACGUCAAAUCAUCAUGCCCCUUAUGACCUGGGCUACACACGUACUACAAUGGCCGGUACAACGGGCAGCGAAGGAGCGAUCUGGAGCAAAUCCUUAUAAGCCGGUCUCAGUUCGGAUUGCAGGCUGCAACUCGCCUGCAUGAAGUCGGAAUUGCUAGUAAUCGCGGAUCAGCAUGCCGCGGUGAAUACGUUCCCGGGUCUUGUACACACCGCCCGU